AUCGAUGUAGCUCAACGGAAGAGCUCCCGACAGGGAAGGUGGUGGUUCAAUUCCACCCAUCGAUA
This 65-nucleotide transfer RNA is filed under the name Phytophthora megakarya. It matches the Rfam family "tRNA". Rfam says of the family: Transfer RNA (tRNA) molecules are approximately 80 nucleotides in length. The record is from Rfam by way of RNAcentral. Lineage: Eukaryota; Oomycota; Peronosporomycetes; Peronosporales; Peronosporaceae.